Molecule: long non-coding RNA, 3396 nt
Organism: Mirounga angustirostris (Northern elephant seal)
Lineage: Eukaryota; Metazoa; Chordata; Mammalia; Carnivora; Phocidae
Exons: 4
Source: RefSeq, a predicted model, not a curated record
GUUAAUGAUGUUACUCAUGCCACUGGGGCAUGAAAGAAAAGCUUGCAUUUUUGGGUGGUUAUUGCUUGCCCAGAGCGGUGGAAUGAGCCAUACGGCUGAAGGCCAAGGGACUCGGCCACCCAUGCAGUGAAAUAAUCCCCAAGAAAUGCACUGCUUGGAAUGGAAAUGAAAAGAAAGUGAACAGUCAGUCAUUCCAGGGCAUCUACUAAAUAUUACCGACAGUCAUUCAGUCUAAAGUUUGCCUGAUUCUUAACACUGCAAAUCUCAGAUUUGGGAUGUAUUACAUAGAUCACAGGAAACGGUUGACAACAAGCAGUUGGAGCGCUGUUCCUGUCAAGCUCUGGGUCGUAAGCAUGGGACCCUGGAUGAGAAGAAAGAAGCAACAUUCAACUGUACGAUGGCCUACAUUUUUUGACCCAUCGGAGACUCACGUGAAUAAAGAAAAGCAGAAUUUCGUGUUGGCAUCAGCAUCUACUAUAUAGCAGGCACUCUGUUCCAUGUCUUCUGCAAGACAGCUUUACCUAUAACAUGAAAGAGGGGAGAGAGUUCCCAGCACCAGCUCCCUGUGGGCCAACGGCCUGGAGGCCUGGGUCAAUCCCCAAAUCACUUGGGCCUUGGCUCCCUCACCAACCAGAUCUCAUUCUCUGGAGGAGGGCUACGGGUUGAAUUGUGUCCCUGAAGAAGAUGCGUUGAAGGUGACUUGAGGUGGAAAUAGGGCCUUUGCAGAUGGAAUCAAGUUAAGGCGAGCUCCUGCUGGACUAGGGUGGGCCCUGAAUCCAGUAGGACUGGUGUCCUUUGAAGGGACAAAGAAACACCCACCAAGAAGUAUGGCCGCCAUGAGGCAAGGGUUGCUCGCAUCACCAGAAGCCAGACGAGAGUGCAGGGUCCUGGCGACACCUUGAUUUCAGCCUUCUAGCUUCCAGAACCACAAGAUGGUCCAGAAGCCUCAACGAGGAAUGGAGGGGAGAGAAAACGAAACCGAAUGUCCUCCAAACACAGGGCCGUGUCCUGAGCUGAGAUCCCCAGCAUCAGCCCUGGCGCGAGCUCAGGCACCGGGGAAGGUCUGUGUACCUUCCCUUCCCCAGAUGUUUAUAAUGAAUAAUGGAUUCCGUGAAUAAAUUCUAAUAGAUGCCUGAAUACAUUUUAAUAACUAAUGACUAAAAUUAGGAGUGAGAACACUGCAGAGUCUUAAAUAUAUAUUUAAAGUGUUACAAAUUAUAAGCAUUUAAAUUAUAAGCUUUCAAAUAUUAUAGAGGAAAUUUUUAAAAAUUAAAAAAAAAAUUGCUGUACUGUUAAGCGCGAUGAUGUGAUGAACAUGAACAUUGUAAAAGGAAUUCCACAAUUGAGUUAAUGAACAUGGCCAACACCUCAGAUAGUAACUUGGUUUUUAGUGAGAAUACAUAAAUUCUACUGUCUUAGCAAAUUUCAGUUAUACAAUACAAUAUUAUUAGCUAUAGUCACUGCAAUACACGAGAUCCUCAUAUCUUGUUCAUCUUAUCGCUGAAAGGCUGUACCCUUUUACCAACCGCUCGCCAUUCCCCCCAUCUCCCCUAGCCCCUGGAAAUCGCCAUUCGCCAUUCUACUCUCUGUUUCUGAGACCCAGUUUUUGUGUCGGCUUUUUUUUUUUUUAAGAUUCCGAAUAUAAGUGAUCCCAUGCAUUAUUUUUGCCUGUCUGGCUUGUUUUGCUUAGCAUAAUACCCUCCAUGGGUGAACGCCCAUGCCGUAAAUGGCAGGAUUCUUUUAAGGCUGAAUAAUAUUCCAUUGUGAUAUCUAUAUCUAUGUCUAUAUAUGGAUAUCACAUUGUCUUCAUUCACAUUUAUCUGUCAAAGGACAUGUAGGUUGUGUCCAUACCUUGGCUAUUGUAAACAAUGCUGCCAUGCACAUGGGAGUACAGAUAUUCUUUUAAGACGAUAAUUUUGUUUCCUUUGGAUAUAUAUCCAGAAGUGGUAUUGCUGGAUCCUAAGGUAGCUCUAUUUUUAAUUUUUUGAGGAACUUCCAUACUAUUUUCCACAGUGGCUACACCAGUUUGCAUUCUCACCAACAGGGCACAGGGGUCCCUUUUCUCCACAUCUUUGCCAACAUCUGUUAUCUCUUGUCUUUUUUUUCCAGGUCUCCUAAAUUUUAUGAGCUCUCCUCUUUUUUUUUAUUUUAAUUUUUUAAUUCCAGUAUAAUUAAUGUACAGUGUUAUAUUAGUUUCAGGUGUACAGCAUAGUGAUUCAACUAUUCUAUACACUCCUUGGUGCUCAAUGUGAUACGUGUAUUCUUAAUCACCUAUUUCACCCAGCCGCAUGCCCCCAUAACUUCCAGUUUGUUCUCUAUAUUUAAGAGUCUAAUUUUUUGUCUCUCAUUUUCUUUGUUUUGUUUCUUAAAUUACACAGAGGAAUGAAAUCAUAUGGUAUUUGUCCGUCUCUGGCUAACUUAUUUCACUUAGCAUUAUAUCCUCUAGAUCUAUCCUUGUUGAAAAUGGCAACAUUUCAUUCUUUUUAUGGCUGAAUAAUAUUCCAUCAUAUAUAUAUAGAUAUAUCUAUAUCUAUAUAUAUAUACUCACAUCAUCUUUAUCCAUUCAUCUAUUGACGGACACUCAGGCUGCUUCCAUACUUUGGCUAUUGUAAAUAAUGCUGCAAUAAACAUAAGGGUGCAUGUAUCUUUUUGAAUUAGUGUUUGUGUAUUUUUUGGGUAAUUACCCAGUAGUGGAAUUACUAGAUCAUAUGGUAAUUCUAUUUUUAGUUUUUUGAGGAACCUCCAUACUGUUUUCCACAGUGGCUGCACCAGUUUGCAUUCCCACCAACAGUGCACGAGGCUUCCUUUUUCUGUACAUCCUUGCCAACACUUGUUAUUUCUUGUGUUUUAGCCGUUCUGACAGGUGCCAGGUGAUCUCUCCUUGUGGUUUUGGUUUGCAUUUUCCUGAGGAUGAGUGAUGUUGAGCACCUUUUCAUGUACCUGUUGGCCAUUUGUAUGUCUUCUUUGGAAAAAUGUCUGUUCAAGUCCUUUGCCAUUUUUAAAGUUGGGUUAUUAUUAUUAUUAUUUUGCUAUUAUGUUGUAUGGGUUCUUUGUCUAUUUUAGAUAUUAACCCCCUAUCAGGCAUACAGUUUGCAAAUAUUUUCUCCCAUUCUAUAGGUGCCUUUUCAUUUUGUUGAUGGUUCCUUUGUCAUGCAGAAUCUUCUUAGCUUGAUGGAUCCCACUUGUUUAUUUUUGUUUUUGUUGCCUUUGCUUUCAGUGUCAAAUAAAAAAAAAAAUCAUUGCCAAGACCAAUAUUAAGGGUAUUUUUCUUCAAUGAGUUUUUUUUUCUAAAGAUUUUAUUUAUUUAUUUGAGAGAGAGAAUGAGAGAGAGAGAGAGCACAUGAGAGGGGGGAGGGUCAGAGGGAGAAGCAGACUCCCUGCUGAGCAGGGAGCCCC